This 398-nucleotide ribosomal RNA is filed under the name uncultured bacterium. Its description in RNAcentral is "partial 16S ribosomal RNA". It matches the Rfam family "Bacterial small subunit ribosomal RNA", at positions 338 to 734 of the family's 1533-position model. The record is from RNAcentral.
CCUACGGGAGGCAGCAGUGAGGAAUAUUGGUCAAUGGACGCAAGUCUGAACCAGCCAUGCCGCGUGCAGGAAGACGGCUCUAUGAGUUGUAAACUUCUUUUGUCCGAGGGCAAAAGCAGAUACGCGUCCCUGUCUGAGAGUAUCGGACGAAAAAGCAUCGGCUAACUCCGUGCCAGCAGCCGCGGUAAUACGGAGGAUGCGAGCGUUAUCCGGAUUUAUUGGGUUUAAAGGGUGCGUAGGCGGUCGGUUAAGUAAGCGGUAAAAUCCCGGGGCUCAACCCCGGCGAGCCGUUGAUACGGGCCGGCUUGAGAGUGCGAGAGGUAGGCGGAAUGUGUGGUGUAGCGGUGAAAUGCUUAGAGAUCGUACAGAACACCGAUUGCGAAGGCAGCUUACCGGCG